This 148-nucleotide unclassified non-coding RNA is filed under the name uncultured Helotiales. RNAcentral describes it as "sequence contains ITS2". Lineage: Eukaryota; Fungi; Ascomycota; Leotiomycetes; Helotiales. The record is from RNAcentral.
CAACCCUCAAGCUCUGCUUGGUAUUGGGUGCCACCUACAUGGUGCAUCUUAAAAUCAGUGGCAGUGCCAUUUGGCUUCCAAGUGUAGUAAUAUUUCUUGCUUUGGAAGUUUGGAUGUAUGCUUGCCAACAACCCUCUAAUCUACGAAA